AUAACAGUUAGAAAUGACUGCUAAUACCGCAUAAGACCACAAAGCCGCAUGGCUUAGUGGGAAAAACUCCGGUGGUAUGAGAUGGACCCGCGUCUGAUUAGGUAGUUGGUGGGGUAACGGCCUACCAAGCCGACGAUCAGUAGCCGACCUGAGAGGGUGACCGGCCACAUUGGGACUGAGACACGGCCCAAACUCCUACGGGAGGCAGCAGUGGGGAAUAUUGCACAAUGGGGGAAACCCUGAUGCAGCGACGCCGCGUGAGCGAAGAAGUAUUUCGGUAUGUAAAGCUCUAUCAGCAGGGAAGAAAAUGACGGUACCUGACUAAGAAGCACCGGCUAAAUACGUGCCAGCAGCCGCGGUAAUACGUAUGGUGCAAGCGUUAUCCGGAUUUACUGGGUGUAAAGGGAGCGUAGACGGCUGUGUAAGUCUGAAGUGAAAGCCCGGGGCUCAACCCCGGGACUGCUUUGGAAACUAUGCAGCUAGAGUGUCGGAGAGGUAAGUGGAAUUCCCAGUGUAGCGGUGAAAUGCGUAGAUAUUGGGAGGAACACCAGUGGCGAAGGCGGCUUACUGGACGAUGACUGACGUUGAGGCUCGAAAGCGUGGGGAGCAAACAGGAUUAGAUACCCUGGUAGUCCACGCCGUAAACGAUGACUACUAGGUGUCGGGAAGCAAAGCUCUUCGGUGCCG
RNAcentral lists this ribosomal RNA (687 nucleotides) under uncultured bacterium. RNAcentral describes it as "bacterial SSU rRNA". It matches the Rfam family "Bacterial small subunit ribosomal RNA", at positions 143 to 848 of the family's 1533-position model. The record is from RNAcentral.